GAGCCUGUAGCUCAGCUGGUAGAGCAACUGACUUUUAAUCAGUAGGUCCAGGGUUCGACCCCCUGCGGGCUCACCA
This 76-nucleotide transfer RNA is filed under the name Rhizobium albus. Its description in RNAcentral is "tRNA-Lys". It matches the Rfam family "tRNA". Rfam says of the family: Transfer RNA (tRNA) molecules are approximately 80 nucleotides in length. Their secondary structure includes four short double-helical elements and three loops (D, anti-codon, and T loops). Further hydrogen bonds mediate the characteristic L-shaped molecular structure. tRNAs have two regions of fundamental functional importance: the anti-codon, which is responsible for specific mRNA codon recognition, and the 3' end, to which the tRNAs corresponding amino acid is attached (by aminoacyl-tRNA synthetases). tRNAs cope with the degeneracy of the genetic code in two manners: having more than one tRNA (with a specific anti-codon) for a particular amino acid; and 'wobble' base-pairing, i.e. permitting non-standard base-pairing at the 3rd anti-codon position. RNAcentral also lists the same sequence under 2 other names. The record is from RNAcentral. Lineage: Bacteria; Pseudomonadati; Pseudomonadota; Alphaproteobacteria; Hyphomicrobiales; Rhizobiaceae.